CAAGAAGACCCUAUGAAUUUUUUAUUUAUUUAAAUAUAAAUAAAAUUUUUAAAUAAAUUUGAUUGGGGCGAUGUAAAAAGAAUAAAUAUCUUUUUUUAUAAAAUUAAAUUAGUUCCGUUUAUAGCGAUUUUUUGAAAAAAAUACUCUAGGGAUAACAGCGUAAUAAUUUUGGAUAGUUCAUAUAGAUAAAAUAGUUUGCGACCUCGAUGUUGGAUUAGGAUACUUUUUUGAUGAAGAAGUUGAAAAAAGAAGUUUGUUCAACUUUUAAACUCCUACUUGAUCUGAGU
This 287-nucleotide ribosomal RNA is filed under the name Ixodes pacificus (western blacklegged tick). Its description in RNAcentral is "partial 16S ribosomal RNA". The stretch from base 151 to 287 matches the Rfam family "Bacterial large subunit ribosomal RNA", at positions 2473 to 2610 of the family's 2925-position model. The record is from RNAcentral. Lineage: Eukaryota; Metazoa; Arthropoda; Arachnida; Ixodida; Ixodidae.